GCCGUUGUAGCUCAGUUGGUAGAGCACACCCAUGGUAAGGGUGGGGUCACGGGUUCGACUCCCGUCAAUGGCUCCA
RNAcentral lists this transfer RNA (76 nucleotides) under Candidatus Altimarinota bacterium. RNAcentral describes it as "tRNA-Thr". It matches the Rfam family "tRNA". Rfam says of the family: Transfer RNA (tRNA) molecules are approximately 80 nucleotides in length. Their secondary structure includes four short double-helical elements and three loops (D, anti-codon, and T loops). Lineage: Bacteria; Candidatus Altimarinota. The record is from RNAcentral.